RNAcentral lists this long non-coding RNA (1991 nucleotides) under Nicotiana benthamiana. RNAcentral's name for it is "long non-coding RNA (NBEN_LNC015036)". The record is from RNAcentral. Lineage: Eukaryota; Viridiplantae; Streptophyta; Magnoliopsida; Solanales; Solanaceae.
UUUGGUUUUAGUAUUUGUUUUCAACACUACUUUUCACUCAGUAUAUCUGAUUAACUCAAGUUUUCCAGCAAUUUUUCUCUGUUUCCAAACUAGGGUUUUUUACCCCUUUGGCAAAAUCGCUAUACUUUCUGAUUUUUCUUGAGUAUUAUGUGGUUAUGUUUGUGUUUUGUGUUUGUUUGUGUUAUCUUGUGGUUACUCCGAGUUCCAUGCUUUAAGUUUUCUACUAGAGUUCUGUCUUCUGUUGAAUCUACAACUUUUUUGCUUAGGGUUCUCUGAUUUUUAUGCCUAUUAUGCUUUAUAGGUUUUAUUGUUCAUUUUUUACCUAAUAUUCUGUUAAUUAUGUGCAUCUGCGAAUCCUUAAUUUGUAUGUGAUUUUUCUUAGAAGUUUCACACUGAUUUUUUUUUGAAUUACUUCCUUAUUUGUGAUAGGCUUUCCUUACUUAGAGCUAAUUCCCUAUGAUUUUAGUCUCAUCCGUGAUUCUUUGACUGAUUUUCAGAAUUAAUUUACAUUUUUUUCCAUACUUACGCGCACAUGCUAUCAAAUAUUUAGUAUAUAUUUUCCUACUUGAAUUAUUGUGUAUUUAGUCCUUAUUACAUAUUACAUGCCUCACUACUCCUAAUAUGGUAGAUGCAGUGGUCUAAUUGAUUCCUUUCCUUUUAAUACAACUGCUUGUUGCUGUUUGACUUUGAUUCCUUAAUUAAUGGGGAGUUCUUAUGCUGAUUUGAUUAUGAUUGAUACCCAAUUCCUUAAUUAUGGAUUUCUACCUUGUUUGUUUACUCGUUUUCAGUACUACAAGUUCCCCCAUUCUCUUUUGCAUGAGACACGAACACAUUGCAUAUCACAAACACAUACAGACACGCAUUCAAUCUCCCAAAACUCUCUUUCAAAACACUCAGUGCUCUCUUUCUUUCUCCAUUGUUUCUAUAAACUCUCUCACUCUCCUAUUGAACGUUCAAUCAGCUGAAAGCCAAGAUUGAGUGAUCUUGGUUGUUUACAACACUACUAGGGUUCUACUGCAUUAUUUUUUUGGGUUUGCUUGCUGCUUACUUCUCUGUACAAUGCUGCACUCAUUCAUUGCACACUUUGCUCUCCUUUGUGCAUUAUUGCUCAUUGCUAUUGUGUUCCACUAUCUGCAACUGGUAUGUCACCUAUUUAAGAUACGGCUUCCAAAAAAACAUGCUUCUACUAGUUUUGCCCUUCAUCUUGUUUCUUGUGUGCUUUUACCUGUGGUUCUGUUGCUCUUAUUUCUACUCGCAUGUAUUCAGGCCUGCUUAGUUAAUUAACAGUCCUGCAACCUCUUCCUUAGGUUGAUUAUGUUUGGAGUUUGGUACAGUAAGAACUGAACGUUUAUUUAUAGCCAUGUCUGAUUACUUUUAUUUAAUGUGUUGUAUAUGGUUGAAUAGUUUCCUUGCCUAUUUGUUCCCUUCCCCUUUGCCCCUUCUUGUGUGAUCCUCUGUUCUGAAACUGGUCAGCCAAAAUGAAUUUUUUGAAGAACUCUUUCUACUCUUCUUACUGCUUUUUUUCAAACCGUCUCUCAACUGUUUUCAACUCUUUCAAACUCUAUCACAAUCUCACUACUCUUCGAACUUAGGUUCUUCCCCCUAAGUGUAAGCAUUACUUUGGGAGCCCUAUGCACCCACUGAACUUUGAUGCACAAGGCUAGAUUUUCCGCACUCGCACUUGUCAAUGAUGAUAUAUUCUGGGUGCCUGGUAUUGGCCAGGGGUUCAAACGAACCCUUAGGGAACUUUGCCGUACCCAAACCUUGGUAAAUGAUGUGAAACUCGAAAGAAAUGAGGUUGGAUAUUUUGGGCCUGCCUGAAGGCUCCCUAUAGAAUAAUUCUUAGUUUUUUAUACUGUUGUAAUUUAAUUAAUUGGUCUGUUAUAAUUUGUAAAUGAUAAUGAGGUUUAUAGUGAAUUUGGGAGGGUUAUGCAUGCUUAGUUAAGGGAAUGUGUAGAAAACAUAUUCAUAGGAUUUUACUUAUUUAUUUG